AAUGCUUCUAUACUUUUUUUUUUUUUGUUACCGUUUAUUCACGCGUAUUCAACGGCUCAGAUUUAAUUUUUUUUAUAUUGUGACCUGCAAUAGCAGGUCACUUUGGGAGAGGUAUCGGUUACUAGGUAUCUCAAAAAAUGAUAUUUUUGUCUUUUAAUACAUGGGCAAUUUAGUCAUUUUACAUCUACUAUAUUUUCAAAAAUUUUAUUUUUUCUUUGUUUCCUUUUUCUCUCUCUAUCUUUCCUUUCAUAAUUUGGCAUUUCAUGUAAGGAAAAUUUCAAAUGAUUUGACAAUAUGAUCAUUUAAUUUAAACUUUAAAUAAUAAUAUGAAAUUCCUCUAAUUUAAAUUUCACUUUUAAAUUUAAAAUUUAAUAUUAUAUUCAAAUUUAUAUUUUAAAAAUUUAAGUUUUAUAUAAAUACUUUGAAAUAUGGUAAAUAGAAAUAAUUGUUUGAAUUCUAGUCUUCUGGUUUAGGUUUGGUUUUGGGUUUCGAAAAAUUGGUCAGUUUUGAAUUUGGAUAUGGAUUUUUGAAAUCCGUCGAGUUCGGAAAUAAGUUUUGUGAUUGUUAGUCAGAUUCGAAUUCAAAUUCCUAACUAUUUUUUUUCUCA
RNAcentral lists this long non-coding RNA (607 nucleotides) under Ananas comosus (pineapple). RNAcentral describes it as "long non-coding RNA (ACOM_LNC010617)". The record is from RNAcentral. Lineage: Eukaryota; Viridiplantae; Streptophyta; Magnoliopsida; Poales; Bromeliaceae.